Orbicella faveolata is the source of this 1574-nucleotide long non-coding RNA. NCBI's taxonomy places the organism in Eukaryota, Metazoa, Cnidaria, Anthozoa, Scleractinia, Merulinidae. The record is from RefSeq and is a predicted model, not a curated record.
GCUAAAUUAUUGUUUGAAAAAUAGUUUCUGACAGAAUCCCUAAAAGUGAAGGGAAACAAGCAACCAAGCAACCAACGAGCCAAACAAACGAACUGAGUAAUAAUAAUAGUAAGCAUGCAUUCACGGCUGUCAAACUUGCGUGACAUGAACAAAUACCGCUGAAGAGAUUUAUCGACGGACGACCAAGGUGGCAACGCGGAAAAACUCGAUCAUGGCCAUGUGAGUUCUUUCCCGUAUCAAAUCUUAGUUAUCAUUCUUGCCUUUUAGCACUUGAAGGCUUCUGAUUGAAUCAAUUUUACCCCAAGUCAGUUAUAUUCAAAACAUUCGAUACGACAGUCACAACGCCGGCUAGUGACAGUGCUGAGAUCGAUGUAUAAAGUUUCACACUCAGUGUAGACCAGAGUAAAGAGAUGUCGUGGUUCUUUUGGACGUGCCUUAUAUCUGUAACUUUGCUUCAAAUUCCAGCUGAUGCCCUCCGGUGCUUCUCGUGCCACUACGACACCUCGCUAAACAGCACCUUGUGUGAAACCACUACUGAAAAUUGCACGGCGGAUUUGAAAUUCUGCCUCACUCAGACGGAGGGGAGACACGACGGGAGCAAAGUGUUCACCAGAGGUUGCGCUCCUUCUGUGGUUUGCGAGACAGAUUACUGCGACGAACAAGUUAUUCAGUUAUUAGGACGAAAGUCAUGCAGCAUUACAUGCUGCCAAGAGAAUUUCUGCAACAGAGAUGAUUAUAUUCCACCAGUUGGAACCGGCCACGUGUCACAUGUUCAUUGGUUGUUGACACUUGCUUGUUUAAUCGUAGCUACCUGGCUCUCGCUCUUUGGAAUUGAUAAUUGAAUCAGAGAUGAUGGUGGCCGAGACUCUGAAAGAACGAAUGGUGUUUUAAGGGGGCUGGCGGGAUUCAGAUUUGAACGCAGUACUUUGGAAUACAGGAAGCACAAUUUAGAGAAAUGAAAAUAAGCUGGAGAACCCUGUUUAACCAGAGACGUAGGUCUGAAUAUCAUAACAUAUUGUUAGUAAUUAUUUUGCUGGUGGUUGUGUGUCAGUAGUGACAUUAAGCCAAAUCGGUCAUUUAGUCUUUAACGGUUAAAGUUGCUUUAACAACGGCGUAGAGGAAUCUAUUCCAUGCAUUUUAUUUUUUCUUAAAAAUAGUCAUGUAAUGAGAAUGUGGAUUUAAAAAUAUUGUUCACAGUUUAUUUUCCGCAGUGAUGUACUAUUUUUUUAUAUUUUAGUUUCCUAUAAAGAAAACUCUGGGCGACAGUUCCAGUAGUUCUAUUUAUUUUUAAUAUUGUUUUACAUUAAAGAUGCUUGUAAGUUAUAAUUGCCAAUUGAUGUUAAGAAUAGGCCAUACAUUCUGUGAUACGAUUCUAGACGGAAGAGAAAUGUUUUCUAUCUUUUUAUUUCCAUGCGCGGCGUCACGAUUUGUCCCAGUGUACCACAGAAUUCAGUGUUUGUUAUACGUGUAUAUGUCAAACCUAAGCCAACUUACUCUGUGGCGGAAUCGAAGAGGCUGUUGACAAUUUGCAAGUUACUGCACUGAAAUAAACAGAGAAUUAUCAUUAUACUCUA